CCUACGGGGGGCAGCAGUGGGGAAUAUUGCUCAAUGGGGGAAACCCUGAAGCAGCAACGCCGCGUGGAGGAUGAAGGUUUUCGGAUUGUAAACUCCUUUUGUUAGAGAAGAUAAUGACGGUAUCUAACGAAUAAGCACCGGCUAACUCCGUGCCAGCAGCCGCGGUAAUACGGAGGGUGCAAGCGUUACUCGGAAUCACUGGGCGGAAAGAGCGCGUAGGCGGGAUAGCAAGUCGGAUGUGAAAUCCUAUGGCUUAACCAUAGAACUGCAUUUGAAACUGUUAUUCUAGAGUAUGGGAGAGGUAGGUGGAAUUCUUGGUGUAGGGGUAAAAUCCGUAGAGAUCAAGAGGAAUACUCAUUGCGAAGGCGACCUGCUAGAACAUAACUGACGCUGAUGCGCGAAAGCGUGGGGAGCAAACAGGAUUAGAUACCCUUGUAGUC
This 440-nucleotide ribosomal RNA is filed under the name uncultured bacterium. RNAcentral's name for it is "partial 16S ribosomal RNA". It matches the Rfam family "Bacterial small subunit ribosomal RNA", at positions 338 to 795 of the family's 1533-position model. The record is from RNAcentral.